CAGCGCGAUGGAUCCCCUUCAGCAAGACAAUACUCCAACUACAAAACAAUUAGGAUCAUCUUUGACCAAACUUCCCAGCCUUGAUCUCAGCAGAGGCCUGCAAGGGACCAACCAUCACCAUAAACAUUAUGUUCAAGACACUGACAACUUUGAUUCCCACAUGGAAAUGGAUCACCAUCGUGCCUGGAAGGAUCAAACUCAACGAACUAGUCCCAGGGGUCAUACGGAGUUUAGGCAUGGGGUGUCCUACGAUGACGUAAGCGUCAUAAGCAUGGCAUCUAACUAUCCGGAAAGAGGGCAAAGACGCCGCCCUGGGAUUCCUCACUCCAACAUAUGCACCAUCUGCAGUACUUACAUAUACAUCUUCCGCCAUCGAUGCCUGGUAACCAAGAUAUUUAAUUUCAUUUAAUUUGUGCAAAAGAAAAGCAACGGCUGCAUGGCCGAGACACUAUAUGACUGGAAGCUGAUGUUUAAUGAAUUUAUGCAGUUAGGAUGUGGUCAAUAAGUUGUCAGAAACUUUAAUUUCUAGUUUAGAAACCAAUUUCAAAAAUAUAUAUGCUACAUAUCUCUGUUUUUGAACAAUUCAAGAUUACCACUAGCUAGGAUAUAUAUGCAGGUUUGUGGAAGGGUGUACUGUAGGCAAUGCGUCUGUAUUGGGAUGGGAGAAAUGGCAGAAGGCAGAAAGUGCGUUCUGUGUUUGGGAAGAAGAUUCAGCCCAAGGUAACAUAACAUUUCCCCAUGAAGAGUUAAGUUUUGGAGUGAAUUAUAUAAAUAUAUAGAUGUGCAAACAAUAAGAGAGAACGUUUUAUGAGUGAUUGGAUAGGUACAUAAAAAGAGCAGGAAAGAUGGGCUGCUGUUGGAGGUACCCGAGUAUGGUGAAGCAAGCAGAGCUGAAGUGGGCAGAGAAAGGGCCUCGGAGAAGCGGGGAGAGAGCAGAUGGGCGCAGUACCGUGACCCUGAGCAUGAUGUCAAGGUCAAGAAGCCCUCAAAGGACUCCAACCGGGACCAGGACCACGAUGGCUACUACUACUAGCAGCACCCCAUCUUUUGUCGCUACCUCACCUGCCUAUUCCCCUUAUUCUCAUCACCACCUUCCCAUCUAGUUUGCUAUAUUAUUCUAUUAUUCUCUAUUGAAUAUUUAUUUGGUCAAAGCUGAACUAAUUAUUUUUGGUCUUUAAGCCUUCGUUAUAUUGUUGCUUUGUUUCGUAAUUCUUUCCAUCCUAUCAGAAAUAGGAUGUUAUGCAUUAACUACUUUGUAUUUUACCGUCCAAAGGAAUUUGCAGGAAACUGCUACGAAACAAAACUGUACCUACUACAGUGCAAUCAAUAUAGCUAUUUACAGGUGAAGCCAAACCCUCCUGAUUUAUACCCUAAGCUAUACAAAAAGAUAUAAUUACGGAAUCAUUUAUCUUUACAUAUGUGCUGGUUGCCAUCUGCAAUUGCAUUAGGGGUCUUACCUGCUUCAAGAUAGCUUAAAUGUGAUGUAAAAUGCUAGCUUCAUUCCAACUCCAGCACCACCUUUUACCUUUGGUUUGCAGGCUGUGACCCACUCAUUUUUUCCUUUAAUAAUUGAUUCAUCUUUUUCAAAUAACUACAGCAAGCCUGCAUAACCAUUAAUCCUUGCUCUACUUUUCCCAAUCAUGGGGUCAGAAGGGCCACCUCUUAGUACCUCACAGGCAAUUUUCCUAAUACAUAUUCACUUAUUUGCAAUAUUUUCAACACCCAUCAGAGAACAAUAAAAUUUCCAAUUCAACCAAACAAGGAUUUAAAUGGUGUUUGCGGUCAUGUUCAGUCGCAUCGCUUUUAUCGCUAUAGCCAUUAUGAUAGAUGAAUUUGCACGAUUUUAAUAAAAUAUAAUAAUUCUAAUUCUAAGCAUAAAAUUUUAUUUUUAAUAAAACGUUCUAUAAUAUUUUUAAUUUAUGAAAAAGACAAAGUUUCAUCAUUAACAAUUUCUGAGUCUACCUUAAAUUUUAUUGAUCACAAGUUUGUUUUAAUUAUUAUAGGAUAGAUUACACUUUUCUUCUAAACUAUAGCUCAUACUUUUAAUUUUCAUUUAAUUAAAAUUAAUACUGAAAAAAAAAAUCUGAAAGUCAUUUUAGUACUUCAAUUUAAUUCACCUCCAUUUGAAUCAUUAUUGUUAAUUAAAAAAAAUCGAUUAUACCUAUCCAUUAAUGGUUUCUGUACUUGAUUAUGUUGACCAUUAAAUUAAAUUAAUGGAUUAAUCAUAUGACAACAUUUAAUAACCCGAUAUUUAGUCCUUUAUUUUUUUUAAUAAAAGUCAUAAAAAUUAUAUAUAUAUAUAUAAAGAUCAUAAAAAUUAUGAAAAAAAGUUAUUAAAAUUAUAUUUUAAAAAAAUUAUAAAAAUCUUAAGAGAUUGUAAAAGAUAUAAACAAUCAUAAAUAUUAUUAAAAAUAUUUUAUACAAACAUAUAAAAACUUUAAAAUAUUAUAAAAAUAUUGAAUUUUAAAUUAAAAAUAUUUUUUUGUUGAUUGUGUCUAGUAUAGUAUCGAAUGUAUCGAAUGUAUCAUUCGUCACAAAACCAACAUGAUUUUUCAUGGUACUACGAGUAUCAACAUGAUUCGUCACAAAACCAACAUGAUUUUUUUGUUGAUUGUGGCUUUUCACUACUAUUAUCACUUUCUUUGUUACUAUGAGUAUCACGAAUCAUUGUGAAAUCCUUAAUAAAACACAACACUAAAGAAAAAAAAAUUAAGCAAACAUCACCGUUAUACACUUAGAAAUAAAAUUGCAUUCUCAACAAGAUAAGAAUUAAUCUUUUUAAGUCUUUUAAAAAUGUUAAUAAGCAAUCAAUCAGAAAUGUAUUAGAACCUAAAGGAAACAAUAAAAUGUUAUCAAUAAAAAUCGGUGAAACCUGAAAAUCGCUAAGUAACUUGACAAACUUCGUUCAAGGUGUUCCCGAUUUCCAAAACCACAAAAUUUAAAUUAGAACAUUCUCAAAUAGAAUAGAUCUGAUUUGGAAAGUUUUGGCAUGAAAUUCAAUCUAGAAUUUUUUUAAAAAAUUUUCUUCAUAUUUUUUGAGGUUUUUUUUCACUUUUUUCGAUCUUUUUUUUGUGGGAUUUUUUUUAUAUUCCAAUAGCGUGCUAAAAAUUGGUGUGUAAAAUUUCACAUGAUCUGGAAAAUGUUUACCCACUGAAAAAUAUAUGGGUAAAAAACUACUUUGAGCCUGUUUUGCUAGAAAUUAGUUUAUAAAAACUCAAAGAAGACCCAAAAUGCCCAAGAAAUUGAUACCAAAUAAUAUGGACGUGUGCGGAAUAAGAUCGCAAGUUUGUCCAAGUUGCAGAUUUGAUCUAGGGAUCUAGACGAACGAAAGGAAACUUGGAGUUCAACUCAACCUGAAACGCAAACAAUCCAAGUCAAAAUUGAAAGGGUAACAACAAAAAUCAAGUAAUAACAGCACAAAUAGACCAAAUUAAGAAUUAGAGUUCUUACAGAAGUCCAAAUCGAUCAAGAAAAUACUUGUUUUUGAUGAAUUCCAAACGAAAUAAGACUGUCAAUUAAGUAAAAGCAAACAAUUAAAACAAAUUUGAAGACCUGAGGCUAAAACCCAAAUUAAAUCACAAGAAAAACUAAAAAAAAGGUUCGAUCAAUCAAAAACAAUAAGUAACCAAGUGUUUGGAGUGAUUUGGGUCGUUGUUGAUAAAGAAAAAGUUGUCAAACAAAGAUCUAAACAAAAGAAACAAAAACAAAUUAGAAAUUGAAUGAAAACAAAUUAAAAGAAAACCUAACAACAACUAAAGGGAGGGACGGCCAAAAUGAGUCUAAGAAUGAGCAGAAUAAGGUUUCUUGGAAGAGAAGAAAUCGUUCUUGGACUCUAAAGAAACCUCCAAUCAAAUCUGAAACAAAAUAACAAAAAUAGUUUAGUAGAAUGAAGAAUUAAGUCAAAAGCAAAUUGUUUUGUAACAAAAGAAUUCAAACAGCAAGAAAAGAUAGGAGAACGCCCCUCUUGAUUGAAAUAAGACUUGAAAUUAAGAAAAAUCAAAGAUUAGAUUCAAAGUAACAAGAACAAAAUAGGAAAAAAAAUAAAAAAUAAAAAAAGAAAAAGAUAGAUGGAAAAGAUGGAUUGGAAACAAGAUGAAUUCACAUCCUCCUUAAAACAACUCUAAUUUUUCUAAUUCUUCUGAAUAAUCAAUGAAUAAAGAAUACAAUGG
Molecule: long non-coding RNA, 4169 nt
Filed under: Gossypium barbadense (sea-island cotton)
Lineage: Eukaryota; Viridiplantae; Streptophyta; Magnoliopsida; Malvales; Malvaceae
Description: long non-coding RNA (GBAR_LNC001900)
Source: RNAcentral